Molecule: ribosomal RNA, 667 nt
Filed under: Sporosarcina sp. GIC17
Lineage: Bacteria; Bacillati; Bacillota; Bacilli; Caryophanales; Caryophanaceae
Description: bacterial SSU rRNA
Rfam family: Bacterial small subunit ribosomal RNA
Source: RNAcentral
GAGCGGCAUGAAGAGAGCUUGCUCUCUGAUUUUAGCGGCGGACGGGUGAGUAACACGUGGGCAACCUGCCCUACAGAUGGGGAUAACUCCGGGAAACCGGGGCUAAUACCGAAUAAACAGUUUGUCCGCAUGGGACAAACUCUGAAAGACGGUUUCGGCUGUCACUGUAGGAUGGGCCCGCGGCGCAUUAGCUAGUUGGUGGGGUAAUGGCCUACCAAGGCGACGGAUGCGUAGCCGACCUGAGAGGGUGAUCGGCCACACUGGGACUGAGACACGGCCCAGACUCCUACGGGAGGCAGCAGUAGGGAAUCUUCCACAAUGGACGAAAGUCUGAUGGAGCAAUGCCGCGUGAGCGAAGAAGGUUUUCGGAUCGUAAAGCUCUGUUGUAAGGGAAGAACACGUACGGGAGUAACUGCCCGUACCUUGACGGUACCUUAUUAGAAAGCCACGGCUAACUACGUGCCAGCAGCCGCGGUAAUACGUAGGUGGCAAGCGUUGUCCGGAAUUAUUGGGCGUAAAGCGCGCGCAGGCGGUUCUUUAAGUCUGAUGUGAAAGCCCACGGCUCAACCGUGGAGGGUCAUUGGGAAACUGGAGAACUUGAGUACAGAAGAGGAAAGCGGAAUUCCACGUGUAGCGGGUGAAAUGCGUAGAUGAUGUGGGAAGAACC